ACAAUAUGAUCCUAUAUUAUGUCAGGGUUCUUUGUUUGUUUAUUUUUUUGGAUACCCAGAGCGCUAUUCCAAGGCACAACUAAUUUUAUAUCUUGUGUGCGGUUGGAGGGGGGAGGGCAUGCAUGGGGGGCUAUAAUUAUCAGUGACAUUUAUGAUGAGAUGAAAAGAUCCAUGAAUUGACACCCCAAAAUCAAUUCAGGGAAAAUUAUUGUUGUUCAUCUAAAGGCCAUGCAUAGCUUCAUAGCUACUGAGCUACACACACAUUGAUUUCUUCCACAUGAUAAUGAACUAAUUUAGUUACAUGUUGGUGUGGGUGAGAGGGUGGGGACGGUGGUGGGCACAUGCUUUGAUCAACAUAUUGAUCUUGCAUAAUAGUUGAUUUCAUGAUGAGAGGGAAAAGGAUCCAUGGCCAUGCUCAAACUCAAUGCGUAGGGGGCAAAAUUAUUCUGUCACCUUCAUUCAUAGGCCAUGUACAUUUGCGUGCUCUUUAUUUCACCAUAAAGAUAAACAGUGCUGCAAGAAUAUCGCCUCCUUAUUGCCUUCAUUAUUUUUGGAAAUUUUGUGUGGACUUGAACUUAGGACAAUUAGCUAUAAAUAUCUCUCGACUAUUACUAGACAUGCUUUUAGGAAGUUUGGUCACGAUCAACAAUUAUGUAGAUGUACCAUUACUCACAGGCAAUGGCGGUCGCAGAACAGAAAUUUAUGGAGGGCCGAAAAAUCUACAGGACGAAAUCAAGCAAGAUCGUAAAAAACUAGUGUUGCAUAGGAUUCAAGUUUCAUAUCAAUAUAUAAGACAAAUUUAAAGAAGAAAACUAUAUAAACAAAAGAAGCAAAUAAACCUCUAAAUUUUUGCUGACAGAAUAAAAACCAUAUGUAACUUGCCAAAUAUCGAUGUCAUUGAAGGGCGGGGGCGCCAGGAAAGGGGCCGCGUCAAACGAUGUCUCUGGCUAAGAGCUAGUACAGGAGUUGGGAGGACUGGACCGAACCGAUGAAGAGACCUAGGACAUAACUGUUUUAGCCCACUCACAUAUUCAAUUUUUUCUACACAUAAUAGUAAAUGACAUUUGUAUAAAAGGUCAUAAGAAUUUGAGCGGGGCAUGGCCCUUUUUGCCUCCCCUCUUUAUCCACCCCUGCUCGCAGGCUCCAAACCUUCAUGGACCCUGGUUAGCUCUCUGCACCCCCUCGGUCAUUCUCUUGCACCUCUGAGUGUAAUAUUCUAUAAACAAAACCAUAACCAUAAACGAAUAAUGGUAUGUCAUAUGGACGACCAAAUAUUGUAGAUGCAUAUAGCUCAUCGAGGUGAUUUUGAUUGAUUGUUCACUUGUUCCUCUUGGAUUCCAGAUAAGCUUUUUGAGUGCUAGGUGAUCUGAGCAGUCUUUUUCUCCAUUCCUCCUGGCAGUCACCGCCCUACUUUCUCCCAUGCAUCUAAAGCCGCACCUCCUAUUUCUUCCUCCUUGUGGUCAUGUCUCCUCCCCCCUCUCCCUCUUUCCUCCCCACCACAAGAAACCCUAGCCACCCUCUAUCCCCCACCAUUGCAACCUUUGGCAUUGCAGUCUUCCUCUCCCUCGUCCACUCUUGCACAAUGGUACCUAUAUCUUUUCCCUACAACGACCUCCCUGCAAUGGAACUCUCAAUCCAAGGGAUUGAAGUACAAGAGAAGGAAGGAUUCAUGAUAAAAUCGAUUGUUCGUUGUAAUCUCAACACUAGGCAUAGUUUAAAAUCUCAGAUGAGUCGGUUGAGAAUUUGCUAAUCUCAUGAACAUAAAACUUGUAGGUAUUGUUGUUAUCAUAUGUCAAAUGUUUUUGGUUUUGUUCCAAUUUGAUUAGCAGUUUAGUAGUAAUCACAGAAACAAUGUUGUUGUUGUCCUAAAAAUGAAAAUAGAUUUGAGUACAAAGCUUAUUCUAAUUUUUGGAGAUUAUUCGUGUAGAUCAUGGCAAACAACAUGCAUCUUAACAUCACAACGUACAAAAUAUAUUUGCCAUGGAGCCACACCAGGGGACAAAACUCAGAGUGUUGUUCAUCAGUUCUCAGUGGAAGCUUUAUGUGCUUGCAUGGUCUCCAACUAUAGAACGAGGAGCAAGAACGAUUGCCACGAAGCACAAUAUGCUUGUACAAAUGCAUCUGUUAUAUGUCAUAACUUUGUGUCAGUUUUCUUUUGUUUUAGGAUAUUUAAAGCAUGAGAGUACAUAUGUUGGUCUGUGUGUGGGUCAGGGUGGGCAUGCUUUGAUCUGGCAUAUAUAUUGAUCUUCAUAAGUCAUGUCGUCACAGCUACACAAUAGUGGGUGUAAGUCAGUAAAUGACUUCCGUGAAAUCCUUAGUUCCUUCCUUAAUUUUGGAUAAUUUGGAUGAACUUCACACAAUUAGGUAUAAAUACAUCUCAAUGGUUAUUGUGCGUACUUUUGGAAUUUGGGUUGGUGAACUGCUAUGGAGAGCUACCAAUGAUUCCACAAUAUAUAAAGUGAUUACUAGAUACUAAUAUCAAAACAAAGAAAAAUUUAACUUCAAGAGUACAAGCAGCCUUUAGUUGUUACCAUUUGGCCAUCUAUUUUGUUUUCCUGGAUGAAACUUUACGGGUGAAACCUAUCUUGAGGUUAUCGUGAACUCAUGAGAAUUAGAAGGUUGUGGAGGGCAGACGAACAGAGCAGCUGAGCGGAUGGGACAAUUUGCUGGAUGAUGUGCGUAAAACUAUCACUAGCUGAGUAAACAAAACAUAGGAAAGCUUGUUCCUAAUGACUCUCGUGCCCAAUUUCUCAUCAAUCUAUACGCAGUGCAUGUCAAAUCCUCCCAUGGUCUGUGUUGUAUGUCAUACAUCUUUGCCUCAAUGUUUUUGUUGGUUUAUCCAAAACUGCUACAAUGAGGCACAAUGUGUGAACAUGCUUGAUCUCUUCAAAGACCAUAUAUAUACUUUGAUCUGCAUAUGCGGUUCAUGGUGCCAUAUACAUAAUAUAACGUCAGAAGUACUUUCACGCCUUGAUGACUGAUGAGGGGCAUGGAGAAAGGACAUGCAUAUGGUUGUGGCAGCUCGAUAUUGAAUAGAAAUGACGAAUUUAAGUCAAAAUUAAUUUACACACCAUAUAGAGUUUUGAUAGAGUUGAAAACAGAUAUGGGAUGGCUGAUAUCUGUCAUAUUUCAGAUAUCCGAAUAUCUUUUCGGAUAUAACUUCCCAGAUAUUUGGAUAGAAGUGUGCAUUUUGAUGAUUUUAUGAAGAAAAUUAACAAUGCACAAAUAGCCUCAACAUUUCAUGACAUUUUACAAAGACGCAACAUAUGUCCAUAUAUAAUCCUCAAAAAUGUUUGGACCAAAAAAUCUACAAGAUGCCAUUAUUUCUUCCAUUUUACUUUAACUGACUGCGCAAGUUCAUGUGAAAUCACUCUAAGUAUCCAAAUCUGAACAUAAUCAAUACUUCACUUUAUCAUUUUCAUGCGGGGCCUGAGGUUAUCUUAUUAUAGAAUGUUUAUUAGUUAUGGUAACUUAAUUUCAUUUUUUGUCGACACUAAAAUAUUUUAUGAUUUAAUCGUUUUUAUGUUUUUAUGUUUUUCUGUAGAAAGAAAUUAAUAAUACACAAAUAGUCUUAGAAACUCAUGAAAUUUUACGGAGGCUCAACAUAUGUCCACAUAUAAUCCUAAAAAAUGGUUGGACCAUAAAAUCCAAAUGAUACCAUCAUUUCUUCUAUUUUCACUUUUACUUUUUGCAUAAUUUACACGUGAAAUCACUCUAUGUACCCAAAUUUCAACAUAAUUAAUACUUCACUUUAUCAUUUUUAUAUGUGAACUUGAGGUUAUCUUCUUAUAGAAUACUUAUUACUCUUGAUAACUUAUUUGCAUUUUUUGGUCGCUACUAGACUUUUUUAUAAAUUUAAUUGUAUUUUAAUGAUUUUCUAUAGAAAGAAAAUAAUAAUACAUAAAUAGCCUAAGAAAUUCAUGAAAUUAUAUGGAGGCACAACAUAAGUCCAUAUAUAAUCCUAAAAAUGUUUAGACCAUAAAAUCCAUAAGAUGCCAAUGUUUCUUUUAUUUCACUUCCACUUAUUACGUGAGUUGCACGUGAAAUCACUUUAUGUAUCCAAGUUUCAACAUAACCAAUACUUCUCUUUAUCGUUUUCAUAUGGAGUCUUGAGGUUAUCUUCUUAUAUAAUGUUUAUUGGCCUUCGUAACUUAUUUGUAAUUUUUAGUCAACACUAGAAUAGUUUUAUGCAUUUUGAUGAUUUUUUGAAGAAAGAAAAAUAAUAACACACAAAUAGCCUCAGAAAAUCAUAAAAUUUUAUAUGAGGCACAACAUAUGUCCACAUAUAAUCUUAAAAAUGUUCGGACCAUAAAAUUCACAAGAUGCCAGCGAUUCUUCCAUUUCACUUUCACUUGUUGUGUAAGUUACACGUGAAAUCACUCUAAGUAUCUAAGUUUUAACAUAACCAAUUAUUCACUUUAUCAUUUUCAUGUGGGGACUUGUGGUUAUCUACUUAUAUAAUGUUAUUAGUCUUGGUAACUUAUUUGCAAUUUUUGGUCCGCACUAGAAAAGUUAUGAACUUAAUUGCAUUUUGAUGAUGUUCUACAGAAAGAAAUUAAUAAUACAUAAUAGCCUUAGAAAUUCAUGAAAUUUAAUGGAGGUGCACCAUAUGUCCACAUAUAAUCCUAAAAAAAUUGGACUCAAGGAGUGGCUAUUUGGCUAAAUUAUUACAACAACCAUGGCAUGUGUGAAAUGGUGUCUUACACGGUAUCCGACAAAAAAUAUGUUACCAACGCUAUCCGUGUCCGACUAUUUCCAUAUUCGAUACACAACUAUUUGUAUUUGCAUCUAAAAACAUCCGUAUCCGAUCUGAUUACACCCCUACAUGAUACUGGUAGUUUGGAAGUGGUGGCACUGCACUUCUUUGCUUAUUUUAGAUGGUCCAUUAAUGAUAGAGUUGAUUUUUAACAACAUUUUUUAUACAGAUGAAGUUAACUUGAUUAAACGAGAUAUGCACUGUUUAUAAAAGAUAUCUGACUAGUUUUAACUGUGCUUUUAAUAAUCAAAGAUAAUUUGAGAUAAUCUAACUUAGAUAGUUCACUAAAAUAUCUUGUGCACCUACUUUUUAAUUAAAAUAACUAGCAUGUAGUUUUUUAUGUGCUCAAUAAUAUAAAUAAUCGGUUAAGUAUAUUUUUAGCGUUUUUCGCUCAUGUGACCCUAGUGAUGAGCUUCUCCUCUGCAUUUGUCUUUAUAAAUAUUUUCUCUCUUAUUUGGUACAAUUUUUUAAGUAUGCUUGUAUGUUGUCCGAGUUAAAUGCUUGUUAUGAUGGGACACGAGUUGUCUGAGUCUCAGAGACCAGUGCGAAGCUUUAGAGACCAUAGGUCCGUUUGGGAGCGGUGAAGUUCCAUUUGUUCAAGAUGUGAAACUCAAGACUUCCUUAGCAGUGUCUACUUUAGAAAUAAGGAAAUGACAAUUAAAUCCAAAAUUAGGAUUUUGUGGUGUUAUAGCUGCCAAAUGAAAAACUCAGAGAUCGUGCUCAUAUGAGUUAGAACAAUAUGCAUUCAACUGAGCCCGAUUCCAAGACAUGACGGUACAGAUUGUGUGGUCGCGAAAAGAAUUUAUCUAAGUAAACGUCCAACAAAUUGUAUGUUCUGUUAUAGAGGCAUGCAUGUUUGCUACCUAUAUUUGCAUAUAUAAUGUUUUGUAGCGAAAAUUUCUCUCCACAAGUUUCCAACCUUCGACCUAUCCCACCGCACCUUGUUCUUCCCCAUGUAUAUAUCAGUCCUACUGUUCACAUGUUUCUAACACCCUGUUUGGAUGUAGAUAUUAGAGUACAUAAUUGGGAAUUGGAAUCAGCUUUCCUGAAUUCUAUCGUUUGAUUGCACAUAGAAUUGAGAUUUGGAAUCAGAGACCCAAUUCACUAGAAUUAGACUAUAACUAGAAACUUACUCUCCUAAUACAGAGCAUCAUCUCUUUGUAUUGUGUGGACGUCAUUUCAAUACCAUGGCUUAUUUGGUAUUGAAUCGAAUUCAAUUCCAUGCCCUCCAAUAUCAACAACCAAACAGAUCAUUGUGAGACCGUGAUUAUAUUCAUAUAUAAUAAGACCAAUGCAAUGCAAAUCCAAUACAAGAUGAAGUUUUGAACAACAUGCAUCUAGCCACAGGUUAGAGUCCUAUUCUAGUAUGUAUCACUGAAGAACAUAUGCCAUGAUUGUUGCAUAAAUAUUCGGUUGCAUGACAUUGUAACCUGCAACUUACAAACAUUGUUUGCUAGUAAUGAAAACUAUAUAACAGAAAAGUAAGCCAAAGUAUCUUAGCUAGCAGGAGCCAGUUUGUAGAUAGGAGUGUGGAUGCAUGCACUCAUUUGUUCAUUUCUUCUGUGAGUCCACGGUCCAGGAGGCUUGAGUCGUCACACCAAUUGUUAAAACUAGAAUAAACUGUUCAUUUGUCUAAGGGAUUGCUUGCUUACAGCCAGAACAUAGGGUGAUGAUGAAAUUUUGUUCCUGUUGACUCUAAUGCCCAAUUGAUUAUUCACCCUUGGAUGUGUUAUACUUGCAUAUCCUCAUAUUGUGGAACAAGAACCAAGAACGUUGGACACAACAAAGCACAAUCUGCUCCUAUGACCUAAGUGCCUGUUAUAUGUCAUCUGUCUUUAUGUUAGGGUUCUUUGUUUGUUUGUUUUGGGAUACCAAGAGCGCUUUUCUAGGGCACAACUAAUUGUGUAACAUCAAAUCAUACACAUCAAUGGAGCCAUUCUUUGGGACAAAUCUCAGAGUUUAGUCCUGAUGACUCCCAUACCCAAUUGUUAUUCACCAGUUCUCAGUGGACGCUUUUAUGCUUGCAUGGUCUCCAAUUGCAGAACAAAGAGCAAGAAAAUUUGCCAUAAAGCACAAUAUGCUCAUGCAAAUGCCUAUGUUAUAUGUCAUCGCUUGAUGUUAGUUUUUCUUUUCUUUUUGGAUAUGCAAAGUGUGAGAGUAUGUAUGUUGGUAUAUGUGUGUGGGUUGGGUUGGGCAUGCUUUGAUCUGACAUAUAUAAUGAUCUUCAUGAGCCAUACCAUCAUUGCUACACAACGGUGGGUUUAAGUAAAUGGCUUUCAUGCAUGAUGAGAUAGAAAGGAUCCAUGGCCCAGCCCAAACUCAAUUUAGGGGAAAAAUCUGACUCUGUCAUAUAUAGGUCAUGUACAUUUAUAUACUUUUUAUUUCAUUGUGAAAUCCUUAGUUCCUUCAUUAUUUUUGGGUAAUCUGGAUGAACUUGAACUUCACAGAGCUGGGUAUAAAAUAUAUCUCAACAGUUAUGGUGCGUACUUUUGGAAUUCGUGUUGGUCAGCUACUAUACAGAGCGACGAAUGCUUUCACAACAAAGUGAUUACUAGAUACUAAUAUCGAAACAAAGAAAAUUAACUAUGAGAAUACAAGCAACCUUUCGUUGUGAACAUACCAUCCACUAUGUUUUUCACGAUGAAACUUUACGGGUGGAACCGAUCUUAAACGGUCAAUGAAAUCUUAGAAUAUCCAUGGUGAACUCAUGAGGGCAGAUGAAAAGAGAAGCCGAGCGGAUGCCACAAUUUGCUAGGUGAUGUACAUAGAACUUGGAAACAAGUGGAGAAAAGUCUGUUCCUAAUGACUCUCAUGCCCAAUUUCUUAUCAUCUUGUGUGCGGUGCAUGUCAAAUCCUCCCAUUGUCUAUGUUGUAUGUCAUACAUCUUUGCCUCAUGUUAUUUGGUUUGCCUACCCAAAACCGCUACUUUGAGGCACAAUGUGUGGACGCGCUAGCUUGAUCUACAUUUAAAAUUCAAAGACCUCAUAUAUAUAUAAAAGAAUAUUAGUAGCCCUGGGCUUCCAAUGAUAGAGGUGACACCGCCGCUCGCACGUCUGAACCGCCCCUUGUUCGGCUGAACCGGUAUGUGUGUAUAUAUAACGCCACAUGUACUUUCACGGCCUUGAUGGGGGACACGGAGAAAGGACAUGCGUAUGCUUGUUCGGUUGUGGCAGCUCAAUAUUGAGCAGAAAUGAACUCAAGUCAAAAUAAAAUUACACACCAUAUAGAUUUUGAUAGUAGAAGUUCAAAAACAGCUAGUAAACUACGUGCAUAUGCCUGUUCAAGCUUUCACCAAUCGCAUGAGACUGGUACUUUGGAACCGGCGGCAAAUGCACUUCUUUGCUUAUUUUAGAUGGUCCAUUAAUGAUAGAAUUGAGUUUUAACUACGGUUUUCUAUACAGUUAAAGUUAACUUGAUUCAAUGAGAUAUACAUUAUUUGUACAAGAAAUAUGACUGGUUUUAAUUAUGUUUCUAAUAACCAUAGAUAAUUUGAGCUAACCUACUCAGAUAACUCGCUGAAAUAUCUUGUACGUACGCCUACUUUUUAAUUAAAAUAAAUAUGACUGCUUCUAACAAGUCCUUGAAAUAUCCUUGUGGUUACCUUUGAUUUUGUAUUUCCAUCACUGGACUCUUCUGCACGGUUUUUCGUGUCGUAAAGCUGAAACCUCUACCGUACAUCCCUAAUUUGUGAAAACGUUCUGCAGGUGUUGUCUCUGUUUUUAUGAGCUGUUGAUUUGAAGCUGGCUAUGGAAAUUAAACUGAGUUCAGACAAGGACAAUAAUAGUAGUAGAAGGAAGAAGGUAGCAUCAAUUCUGUGUUCCCUCAAGCCAAAACUUCAAAAAAAAUAGGUAGAGUUGCUUUUGAGGUUACAGUUUUCGUCUAUGGCUUUAGUCCAGUUUCCUUUGGAUUGAAAUUUCCCGUUUCCUAUGUUUUUUCCGUGAAAAUGAACUGAUUUCUGCGAAAUUCAUAUAUGAUUCCUGUGAAAUUCUCGUGUUCCAAAAGAGGCCUUAGAUUCUUGUAUGAGUUGAUUGUAUUGUAUAUGAUAUAGGAAACAAAUUGUCCAAUACUGUAAUAAAUAAAUCGUGCAAUAUCAUGUGCCAUGUAAUAAACCAAAAAAAUAUUUUUUUGUUUUUUCAAUUCAUAAAUAUAGACGUGUCUGGACCAACGAUUUCAAGUCGUCCGAUUAAUCGGUCUAGUCGGUCAGGAAGCCACUAUUAGGCUUAACGACUCGAUUAGGUCUCCUAGUCGUUCGAUCGUCUGACUAAUCGUUACCUAGACGUGAUUAAUCACCUGACUUGGGAGACCCAGCGACCAGAUGAUGUUUAUUACUAAAUGGGUCUGCGGACUGCCGGCUUUGGGGUGUUGUGGAUGAAGCCUUGGGUGCAACGCAGAGUCUCCGGGGACGAAAUCUGCCUCGGGGUGUUGCUGCAUCUAAUGUUGGUACCUUCUCCGAGCCUAGGACCUAUGUUAGGAGGGCUAGGAAGCGACCAAGAAAUGCAUCUAUCCAAGAUUUACAACAAGAAGAUGACAGUGAUAAUGAAGAUGAUGACCCAAACCCACCUUAGGCUGAAGAUCCAACACCUACUGAAUCAGCAAGAGCAAUGGAGGAGGAAUCUCAAUCAUUUGGAGGGGCAGCUGAUGAUGAUGUAUUUCAUUUAGAUGAAGAUCUACUGCAUUAAGUCACUAGUAAGUUUGUAUUCAAUUUUGCUUAUUAAAUGGUUGUCUUGGUUGGUUCCUGUUCCAACAACCAUUAUCCAGUAUCUGACUAUCUGAGUAUCAAUUGUGCACCGUCCAUUUUCCAGUAUUAGUAAUUUAGUAUUCCAGUUUCAAUUCCAAAUUUCUAAUUGAAACUCUCUGGUUCUACUAGACUUGUGUAAGUUCUAAGUUCUGUUGUUCAUUGUUGUUGUCUGAUUGGUGAUUGGCUGAUUGCCUCUACUUAGUACUAAGUAUAGUAUAUAACUAUAUAUCUAUAGUUCAUUAGUUCUAUAGUCUAUAACUCUAUACAUAAUUAUAUAUAUAUAUAAUAUGUCCUGGUCCUGGAGAUAUACAUGACGAUUACAUGGAUGAUCAGGGGCGAUUAGGUCCGACAAGUCGUCGAGGUCAUCUCCCUAAUCACGAUUAAUCACCUGGUCGUCUAGUGGAACGACUAGACGACCAGAUGACUUGAAAUCAUUGGUCUAGACAAAAUACAUCUGUGAGAAGUCGCAAACAUGUUAUGUUUGUACUCUGUUUCUGUGGUAACCGUCAUCAGAGACGUGUAUAGAUAAUACAUGUCUGUGAUGACUUUUUUCAUGGACGUGUUAAGUGUCUCUAAUAACAAUAGUGGCGUAGCUAGGAUUUUAUCAUGAGGUAUAUCAUAAAAAAAUUAUGUAAGUAAUUUGGUAUAAUUUUUUUUCUUGAAUGCACAAAACAAUUGUACAUCAUUAUAUUAAGAAGAAAAGGAGUUUAGCCCAAAAUGGAUCAGAACAAAACAACAUACGAAACAACACAUGAACCAAAUUCGGUAUACAAUUUAGAAUAUAAAGAUAAGAAUAGCAUAUGAAAAUAUAGAUUUAACAUUUAACUCCAUAAGUACAUACAUUAGAAUACAAAUAUAAUAUAUAUAUAUAUCAGUUUUGUUUCUAGGCUUCAGUGGACUAGUGGUCCGGUGGGCCUGGUUAGGGCCACCCCGAACCACCCACGGGCUAUGCCACUAGAUAACAAGUUACCAUAGACACGGCUUCAGUGGACUAGCUCCGAACCCCGAACCAAGAAGGUGGCCCUGACACCGCACAAUUCUCAGAUCGAAACGACAUAGGUCCACUUUGAAUCAUGGCAGGCUAGUUUACGCCACUAUUAAAUUGGUCGUGCCUCGGACCGGCCCGCCAGACAUGGCUCAUUUCGUCAUCUAUAGUCCAGUACAUCCAUCAUCACAGUCCCUGAUCUCGCGAUCUUGGAAAAAAAGCAAGAGAAAAAACUUUAUCCCAUCUCACCCCCACACCAUAUACCUCACCGCACACCGUCUCUGCCUCUCUCACCAUAUCGUCGUCUGUCAUCUCUAGGGCAAAAUCGUAGGUGCACCGCGAGGUGUAGCCCACUACGCGCGAUCCAAACAGUGGAGUGCGCAUUUAGAUCCGCGUGAGGAGAACUACUGGAUCCUGCCGCACGUGAUAGGGAUCACAACAGUAAUCCAGAAAAUCCCUGUCGGCCAGAUACCAAAGGGAAUAAGUAUGUCACCGAUGGGAAUUAAUAAUCCUCGUCAGUAUUAGGCUAAUUCUUUUUGGUACAUGGCCGAUGUGGAGUGGUGUUAGCGAUUAAUUAAUUCCCGUCAACCACCAAAGAGAAUUAAUUAAUACCCGUCGGUCAUAUGUAGUCGACGACAUUUAAUACUAGACUGCGCUAACUCCCAUCGGUCCCGCCCUUGGAUGACAUGAAUUAUAAGUACGUAGAUAUUGCUUGUGGCCAACGGCAAUUAAGACAUUAUCCCCGCCGGCUUAGAUAGCUGACGAGAAUUACCCCACGAUCAAUAACUCUCGUUGGCUAUGGUCAAGUCGACGGGAGUUAUCCUCUGCUAUUGCAAACCAGCAGCCUAUUUUACUAAUUUCUCAUCUAAUCACACAAACAACAAGCUUAUAUUGUAUAUCAAUUCGCAUACAUCACAAACACCAUUCACAACUCACAUACAUCACAUCAUCAAAUAUUUCACAUUACAAAUUCUUCAAACACAUAGAAGCACAUAUUCAUUUCAAAUCACAACAACGAGACAAGUUAAGUAUUUUGUUCACAAAAACACAUAAAAUUCAGUUUAACACAUACCAUUCAUCAUCCAUACCUAAAGACGAACCCCAAGUUUAAAUAUAAAAAAGUAGCAUACAAUGGUUUAGGGACAACCACUUGGAUGGUUCGAGUUUUGGUCGCUGCCACCACCAGGAGGAGGGUACACAAAGUGGGACUCGACAAAAGUUGAUCUAGCUGGUUCAGUCCCACCCCCACCCGUUCCAGGCGUAGCCUAUGUAAGAAUGCAAAUAUCAAUAAGUUAAGUAUACAAAUGUAUAAAAUCAUAAGAAUAUUUCGAGAGUUACAAAAUGUAUCUGGUCUUCAGGUGCAGGUAGGGAUGAAAAUGGUAAUCUGAACUGUUAGGACAAAUUUUAUAUUUUAAAAUAGAUAUGUAUAAAAUUUGAUGGUGAUCUUGUCUUAUGUUCUCAAGCACAUUAUUAUAAAUAAGAAUAAAAUAUUACAUAAAUUAUUUUAUGUAUUAUUUGCUUCCUACAACAACAAAAAAAGUUGAAAAAAUACCAAAUUUGUUUUCGAAUCCAUACCGAAUUUUAUAUCUAUCAUUUGAGAAAAUAUAGGAUGAUUUUUAGGUUUAACUUUUAUGAAUCUUUACAAGCUCAAUGUUAUAAAUAAGAAUACAAAUCUGUAUAGUGCAUUAUAUAUCCUAUUUAUUCGCAAUCAAUGAAAAAUGACAAAAAACCUGAUUACCGAAUAAAUACCAUUUCCGGCCGUUUUCAUCCAUGGGUGCAGGUAUAUGUGUGGGGGUGAUGAUUGUUGCAUCCCUAGUCCCUAUUUAAUGGACAUUUAAUUAAGUUUAGAUAUAAUUCAAGUUUUUCUAUAAUAACUAGAUGAAAUUAUACAUUCGACAAUGUUAUAAUAGAAUUUGCUAAAGAUUAGCGUAUUUUACCAAUUUCUCAUCCAAUUCACACAAUAUAUCCAUCCACAUGCAUCACAAACACCAUUCACAACUCACUUACAUCACAUCAUCAAAUACUUCACAUUACCAAUUCCUCAAACAUACACAUAGAACCACAUAUUCAUUUCAAAUCACAACAAGACAAGUUAAGUGUUUUGUUCACCAAAACACAUAAAAUUUAGUUUAACACACCAUUCAUCGUUCAUAACCAAAGACGAACCACAAGUUCAAAUAUAAAAAUUAGGAUAUAAUGAUUUAGGGACAACCACUUGGAUGGUUUGAGCUUUGGUCGCUACCACCACCAAGCGGAGGGUACACGAAGAGGGACUCAACAAAAGUCGUUCUGGUUGUAUCAGUCCCACUCCCACCCGUUCCUGGCGUAGCCUAUGUAAGAAUGCAAAUAUCAACAAGUUAAGUAUACAAAUGUACAAAAACAUAAGAAUAUUUUGAGUUACAAAGCGUACAUGGUCUCUAGGUGCAGGUAUAUUUGUGGUGAUGUUGACUAUUGCAUCAUCGGUCCCUGUUUAAUGGACAUUUGCUUACGUUUAGAUACAAUUCAUGUUUUGCUAUAAUAACUAGAUGAAAUGAUAGGUUUGACAAUGUCAUAACAGAAUUUGCUAAAGAUUAGUGUACCUUAGCUAGUGUGGAUGUAAAUGGGAUCCAUUGUGGCGGCGGUGGUGGUAGUGGAAUAUCUGGUAAUGCCAUGCCAUGUUGCUGCAUUGACUAUUGAACAAAUGUGUUACUAUUGCAAUAUUUGAAUAUAUGAAUUUAGAUUUUGAAACAUCUAUACUUACUUGAAACUUAACUUUUUUAUGUUGCAUGCAAGCCAUCAAAUAUUCCCUUUGCUCUCUCAUCUCCUCACGCAACCUCAAAAUCUCCAACUUGUGUUUGUUCGGUUGACGAGAGCACGAGUUACGGGAUGAUGAUCCCGUCCUCUAAGCUCUCACCUCAGACGAGUCAAUCACUCCGUCAAAGAGUGUGUACCUACAAGUGAUUUCAAAAGUGUGCUUAGUGCAUGAUCGAUUUAGUAUCAACCGUGUAAUUUUAUAAGUUAGAACUAACUAUCGAUGUGUUUUCCCCACCACUAGCGUGCACCGCUGAUGGAUCCAACAGUGCAUGUCACAAAUCGAAGUCAGGGCCAUGAUACCGAACCAUAUCCUCCCCAUAUGACGCAUAUACACCAUUUAUAAACUUACCAAUCCAUAAUUUUUGAGAUUUCGAUUUUUUUAUAAUUUUGGACCAAAACUCAUCCGUCGAUCUGUGGUCGCCCAGCUACACAGCUGCUCGGUGUUACUAGGAUCAAGUCCUAGGGAUGGCAAUGGGUCAAGUGGAGCAAAAACUCGUCCAUGAUCGCACCCAUGAAGUCUACCUAAACCCGCCCGUGAUUGAACCCACGGGGGCAAUUUCAAGCCUACACCCAAACCCGUCGGGUUUCGAGUGGGUUUCGGAUCACCCAUGGGUUUUUACUCAGUAUACACUUUUAAACAAUAAUUUAGCUAUAAUCAAUUAAGUACCGACAAUAAUUGAGUUAUAUCUAUGGAUUUUAAGCCUUCUCGCGUUAAGCAGCAAUAAAACAUUUGAUGAAUCAUUAGCGAAGUUACUUGUUCAAAUAAUUAUUAUUGGAUCUUAAUCAUUUUUGUGCAAAAUAAAGAAUGAACCAAAUUUUAGGUCGGGUGCAGGUAACCCGCGGGGUGAAAUAGAAACCUGCACCCACACCCGCAAAACAUCAGGUCAAGUGCGGGUUGCACCCACGGAUUAAAAUCUUCACCUAUACCAACACCCAUUGGGUCGGGUACCCUUCGGGUUUCAUGUUUGUGAGUUAAAUUUCCAUCCCUAUCUAGUCCUUUGUAGUCUACCAUAAAAACCUCAAUGUCGCUAGGCUUUCGGCCACUCGUAGCUUCCUAUACAGACAAAAGACUUUAGUAAGUAAACAUACUAAUUGGUGAUCGACAUAGUUACAUCAAUCUUCCAUCCAUUUAGCUUUUCAGAGGUAGUAGACGUCAUCAAAAUUGUGGUUAAGAUUGGUGCCUCGACAUUAUCUGUGAUGCACUGAAGCUAUCUGAAAGCCAUCGGAAUCCCAACGUCGACACCAAGCAUGUUAUGCAUUUGCAAGGGCGACAUAAAUGGAACCAUCACCUGUACACAUAAGGUUACAUAUUAUAUCAAUCACAGUAAUUAACAAAAAGAGUAAAACAAAUUGAAUAACCUCAUGAUAUUAUUCCUCGUUGAGGUAUAUCUUUGAGGACCCUUCCUUUUGUUCAAGAGACCUUCUUGGCCUGAAUGCAAUUCAAAAUAAAGAUUUGUGAUCUGAAUUCUAGCAUAUAAUAUUACAUCCUUGACAAGCUUUUAUGCACUCUUUUGGAACACAAGUUCAGUGUGCCCCAUGUAAUCCAUGCCUUCAGACAACCGAAAAUGGAACAACAAUAUAAAGAAUACAAAUACAAGGUUAUAAGUCAUAGAAUAAGAACAUUAAGAAACAGAAUAAGACCAUUAAGAAACAGAAUAAAGACAAACCAAAAGUCAUGGCACACUAGUCCCUAUUUGUCAGUGUGGUCUCAUUCCUUUUCAACUUGUAUUCGUCCCAGUUACUGAUGAUCACCUCCUCCAUGCUAUCUUCAUUUGACACCUUCACUAGACCAAUGGGCACCAAACACAUGGUUAACCUGCAUAUGGUGUCCUUGGACGGUAAAGAAUAGGUCCUCCCAGUGCCUAGAUUACAGAAAAAAUAACAUUGCACAUAAAUAUAUAUGAGAUAAGUUAAAAUAUUACACCCACCGAUUUCUAAGAGGCUUGACUAAGGUCCUGUCGGCCUCUCGAUCUAUCGCGAGAGGAGGCUUCACUGUGUGGCUCUUCUUAGAGUGACAUGUGCAUGGCACUGUAGAGCCACCUAAAGCAACAUCCUGAGGCUCAUCAUUCCGGAUGGGGCCUCAUGCAACUGAUGCUGCCUCUGCUGCUCCCACUGGUCCCACGUUGUGUGUUGCUAUCUCGACAAAAACUAACGGAAGCCGAUGGGAUAUUCAGGAUUCUUGUUGUGGAUGGCACCACCACACACCUAACUCGACAUUGGUUUGGUUCGAUCCAUAGGCAUGCCGACUACCAUUGUGUGUGUUGACCCUGUUCUGGUCCUCGAUUGCCUUCCUUUGGUCCGAUCUAGAAAUCCAUGAGCUUAGAAUGUGUUUAAAUAAAUAUCUCAUUUAAGCAAGGUCUAUCUAUUUGAAAUAUAUAAACCAUAUAAAUGCAUGGGUGAAAUACCAAUAAGGUGACCAUAGGGGGGGCAAAUGGGAGCCAAUCAAAUUUCUGUUGCUAAAAACUAAAAUUGAGCACUUCACUUCAAUUGAGAUGAAGAAAGCGCUCAACCCAAAAUCACAUCAGAAAACCAGUGAUCUCAUGAUUUUAAAAUGUUGCUAAUACUCACACGAGACCAGAAAAAUGAACGGAUCACAAAUCAGACAUCGAAAAGUCCGAACCAGCCCAAAACUAUGUCGCUAUCUAGUGUUGAUUCCAGCAGUUCGAAAUUCAGUUCUUGAAUGUGAAACUAAAUUAAAUGGACUUCGAUUGAGAUGAAAUUUUAUGCACACCUUGACAAAUGUGUUUCCAAGGUCUCCACAAAAUUUGAACUCAAAUAGAUUUGUAAAUCAAUCACAGAUCUAGAAAUACGGACAAAAUUGGGGUUUUGUUGGGGUUUUCUCAAACGAACUCAAACUGAGAUUAACUUGGAUCACGACCAAGAACUGCACCAAGGGGGAGUAUGUAGAGAUCCAAAGAGUAUAUCGCAUCACCCAACAAUCCUCAAAAGAAUCUCCAACUCAAGAACUCGAAGGUUCUUCCACAGAUCUAAAAGAGAGAGAAAGGGAGAACGCAAGAACAAAAUGGACUCAAAACUUCAGCAAAGACAAAACUAAGUGAAUCGAGUCAAACCAACUUUGUGGAUGGAUCCAUCCACCCUUCCUUUGAAUAGAGCAGUGAAGAUUACAAACACAAAUGAGAGUUCAAAACAUAUGUGGAUCUCGGGCUGAACUAGGGAAUGAACGCUAGAGUUUUCAAAACAAGAGGCCAAUGUGUAAGACAAAGAGAUAGCUAAAACAAUGAGCCCACCCUUCUAUUUAUAGAGGGUUAUCACUUCUUUCUAAACUACCACUAGAUAAAUAGAGCCUAUCCACUUAGCCGAAGCCGAAAUGAACCAACUCCUGAGAUUUUGAUAUGACAGCCACAUGCUCCAUACGAAGUUGCUUCGCCUUAACGCACUCUUCACGAUGAUGCCAAGUGAUGCCUCUAAUUCCUGUCGGAACUGACACUGCCGAGUUUUGAGGCCCAAACUCUGCAAAACCCGCCAUCUGUAGCGCUGGGUUGUUUUACGAGGCUCAACCAGCAAACCACCGCGAGUAGCGCAACACAUGUGUGUCCCCCAUGUCCUGGACACAUGUCCUGCCAGUCCUCGACCACAUCGGCAAUACGACCCGCUCCACCACAUCCUCACGUGAGUGUGUGUCCCAGGUGUUAGCCACUAUGGCUGGUCACCCGACGACUCUGGUUCCUCGGUCAAGUCUCAGCGCUCGUCCUUCGCCGCUUCUGGUCCAUCGGCACAAGCCCGCAUGACUUUCACCUUCACCGCCGACCAUCAUCGUACUUGUGCUCCAUACUUGCACACCACAAGAUGAGAGACAUGGUUGCACACACAUAACUCACGCCUCAGUUAGUCUACGAGUCAACCCAAGACGCUACAUGUUGACAAUCACACAUCAUCAACCUGAACAAUAAGGAACAAAUCAACCUUGUUGUUGGGGGCCUUCUUCUCUCAGAGGUCCUCAAAACAUUAAGUUAACAGCUAAUACCUAGCUUAUUUUUCAGUGUUACAUGUACCUAUUGGGUACCCAUACCAAAAGCACCUUCGGAUGAAAUAACCAUAAACACAGGAAUGAAGGUACAAGCUUCGGGAUAGAAGCGCAUGUGUGCAAAUGACGAAUUCGGGUGAAGCCACAGCAGGUCUUCAAGAGUUUGUUCACCAAGAUAGCAUGAGAAUAAUACAUCAUUAUCCUCAUCAUGUUUAAUAGUUCGAAUGUAUAGGCUUGAGGACGCGAUUAUAAUUUUAUCGAAGCUAUACCCACGCCUUUAAAUAGAGGAACAAUGCCAUGCAUUUGGACAUCUUUCGGAUCGGAGAGGAGGUAGUUAGCUCCAUCUUUGAAGCUAUAACUUCUCCUUUGUCAUGUUAGCUUCGCAAAGCCUAAGGUAUAAAUGUAAUCUUUAAUCUAAUAUUGGAAAAGGUCAAAGGAAGUAAGCAACAUUUACAAUAUCGUAUCAUAUGUCUUGUGGUCAUUUCUCAUGCGCUUUACUUACUAUUCUAUUUACAUUUUCUUUAUUCACUUUAAUCACAUCUUCAUCUUUUACUUAACCUUCUUCAUGAAGAAGGAUAGGUCUAAAGAUUAAGAUGAACCUUAAUCUUAAUGUGUUACCUUGUUUUUGAUAUCCGAAGGAGUCAAAACAAGUGACAAACACUUGUGUUCGUAAUGGGCCUCUUACUAGUGUUAGUUAACAUGUCUGUAAUUAGCUUUUUUACAUAGUGCAUGUCCAAUAACUAUGGGAGCAUAUGAACCACCCACAGAAUAUAUACAGAUUCAGUAAUUGAUCCUUGCUUUUAAUCUUGUAUGCAUUUUGUGUAGUCUAGGUCUCAAUGCACUGAUAGAUAAGGAAUUGUAUCCUACUCUAAGGGGGUGUUUGAAUGCACUAGAGCUAAUAGUUUGUUGGCUAAAAAUGCUAGUAGAAUUAGCUAGCUAACUAUUAGCUAAUUUGUUGAAAGUAGCUUUCGGUGUUUCCAACCUCUACUCCGACAAGUAAAUUUCUAUGUGCGUGUUUUGGGCUCCGGACGGUGUGCUUGGUGGGCGCAAGGUUUAAGUCUUCGGUGGCUUGCGCUACCGGCAUCUUUUUUGCUAGGGGUUACAAGCGAGUUACAAGCAGGCGAGAGAUGGAGGAAAGGCUCCCAAGUCUCUUAAGUGGGAGUGGUCCUAAAGACUAAGGAACUGGAGUCCUACGCUAAGCCUUAGCUUCGGCCUCUAGGUCUUUAGGUUUCUCUGGGCGUGUGCGGUUGCCGUCUAUCAAGUAUCUUCAGUCUUGGGACUUCUUCGUGUGUCUGUGUCUCUCCGAUUCAUCCGGGUCUGUCUGUCUAGGCCCCUUGGUCUGUGGCCGACCUCCUCCUUUUAUAGGCCAAGGCGGGGGUCAACGGUCGGUGGCUCCUUUGAGCAGGAGCCAUUUAUUCCAUGUUUAAACCGAGUGCCUUCCGUGGCAAGGCCGUUUGUUCGCAUGUGCCUUGUCGCUUGGUAAUCUUGCUCAUGCUCAUUAUGACGGCUGGUGUAGGCGACGCGAGGCCCCGACGCCAUCAUUACUACCUUUGCGCCACACCAACUUCUGGCCUCCGUAGCCUGGGUCUUGGUGUGGCUCGUCGUGUUGUGGGCCCUGUGGACGGUUUGCGCUCUCAGGCCUAGGCUUGAUAGGCCAUUCGUGCUCUGCAGGCCAAGGGGCUCGUAGGUCAUCAGUGUGCCGCUGACCAAAGGGUUGCGCGGGUCAUGAGUGCUCUGUAAGUUGAGGGGAUGCACAGGUCAUGAGUGGGGGGCAAACCAGUUCUUUACUGUGACCUGGUGUCACGCAUAGUUAAUGCGACCGACAACUUAUGGUGGGUUAGUCUCGGGCCAGGCGAGGAACCCAUUGGAGUGGUUUCCUUUUGGUUCGCGCGGCCCCCUUUGCUGCUUCGCCACUCCUGACCCUAGACUCGGUGCCUUAGGGUUUAUCUGGGGGCAAGUGCUUUCUGGGUAGACGAUUCCCCUGCCUCCUCACUAACGGGUGGCCCCAGCCCCCUGGUAGCCAGUGGUCCUCCUCUGAUGCGCUCUCUCUGACCAAUGGGCCCCAGGGGCCCGAGGAUCUUUUCCCCGACAUAGCUAAUAACCGAAUUAUUAGCUAGACUUUUUAGAUAUCUUUAGCCAAUUUCUCCAACUAGUUUCGACAUUGUAUAUAAUGCUAGUAGUUCCACUCUUAAGGUGAAAGGGAGGCGAAAGAAAGUGGACAUCUUUUCCCCAUCUAGAAAUAGGCUACAAAUAUAUUAAAAUGAACAAAAUUUAAGGUAAAUUUAUAUAUUUUAUGACUUUUGCCGUCAGUUGAAGAAGCAAACUUGCAGUAAGAAUGCGUACCUGUUUAAGCUUCCAGCAGCAUGUAUAUUUUGGGGUUGCACGAGGUGGACCAAGCACGACCGCUCGCACGCAGCCAUGCAGAGAGGCCAGGCUCCAGGAACGCCAAUGCCGCAUGCAUGCACCGACAAUCCCUGAAACAAGGGCCCCAUGCUGCCAGAGUGCCAGCUCCACCCUCUUCUGUCGUCGUCCUCGUCCGUCCGUCCCUGGAGCCUGGACAGGCGCAGGCCGCCAAUGCCGCGGAGCCAGCGAGCGGCGGCCACCGUCCACCACCACCACCACCGGCCUGACGUACGAUCAGCGCGCGCAUGCAACCGCACGCUGUUACCGCCCCCCGCCCGGCGUCCAUAAAGCACCAGGGCGACGGGGGGUGUCGACGUCAGUGUGCACGCCCACCGCCGCCCGCUCGCUCUCCCUCAUGGACCCUCCUCUCCGGCUGCUGCCCGAUGGGCGCCUCAUGGCAGCGCUGUUGCUCCUGGCAGCCUGCAUGUCCGCCUGCAGCGUGCAGGCGGUGACGAGCGCGGAGGCCUCCUACAUCGCGCGCCGCCAGCUGCUGGCCAUGAAGGAGGCCGGCGCCGGCGAGGGCGGCGACCUGCCGGCGGACUUCGAGUUCGACGACCGCGUCGGCGCCGCCAACUUCCCCAACCCGCGCCUCCGCCGCGCGUACAUCGCGCUGCAGGCCUGGCGCCGCGCCUUCUACUCCGACCCCAAGGGCUACACCGCCAACUGGGUCGGCGAGGACGUGUGCAAGUACAACGGCGUCAUCUGCACGGAGGCGCUGGACGACCCCAAGGUCACGGUCGUGGCCGGGAUCGACCUCAACGGCGCCGACAUCGCGGGGUACCUGCCGCCCGAGCUCGGCCUGCUCACCGACCUCGCCUUCUUCCACAUCAACACCAACCGCUUCUGCGGCAUCAUCCCCAAGAGCAUGUCGCGGCUGUCGCUGCUGCACGAGUUCGACGUGAGCAACAACCGCUUCGUCGGCGUCUUCCCCUACGUCUGCCUCGAGAUGGUGUCGCUCAAGUACCUCGACCUCCGCUUCAACGACUUUGAGGGCGAGCUGCCGCCAGCGCUCUUCGACAAGGACCUGGACGCCAUCUUCGUCAACACCAACCGAUUCGUGGGCUAUAUCCCGGAGAACCUCGGCAACUCCACGGCGUCCGUCAUCGUUUUCGCCAACAACGCCUUCGUCGGAUGCAUCCCCAAGAGCAUCGGCCGCAUGGUGAAGACGCUGGACGAAAUCAUCUUCCUCAACAACAAACUCGACGGGUGCCUGCCGCUGGAGAUGGGCCUGCUGGUCAACACCACCGUCAUCGACGUCAGCGGGAACAUGCUCGUGGGCACCAUCCCCGAGCAGCUCUCCAACAUCGCCAAGCUGGAGCAGCUCGACGUGUCCCGGAACGUCUUCACCGGCAUCGUGCACGAGUCCAUCUGCGAGCUCCCGGCGCUCGUCAACUUCAGCUUCGCCUUCAACUUCUUCAACUCGGAGGCCGUCGUGUGCAUGCCGUCCGACAAGGCGCUCGUCAACUUCGACGACAGGGACAACUGCCUCGGCGCGCUGCGCCCGGCGCAGAAGACCGCGCUGCAGUGCGCUCCCGUGCUCGCGCGCCCCGUCGACUGCAGCAAGCACGUGUGCGCUGGCUACCCCACACCCGGAGGGCCACCAUCGUCGUCGGUGCCAGGGAAGCCGCCUUCGGUGCCAGGGAAGCCUGCUGCACCUGCGCCCAUGCCAACCCCGCAUACACCGCCGGAUGUGUCGCCAGAACCGCUUCCAGAACCUUCGCCGGUGCCUGCACCUGCACCCAUGCCGAUGCCGACCCCUCGUUCACCGCCGGCGGACGAAUACAUUCCAACGCCACCUGUACCCGCGAAGUCACCGCCAGCGACCUCGCCACCGGCAUCACGUGGUGCUCCACCGCCUCAGGCACAACCUCCAGCUGCCUCCUCCCCGCCUGCAACACCUGUGAAAUCGUCUCCUCCGCCAGCAGCAGUUGUUUUACCACCACCUGCGAAGACUCCUUCUCCUCCGGCCCCUGUUGCUUCACCACCACCAGAAGCACCAGUGAGCUCUCCACAGCCUCAAGUAAAAUCACCUCCUCCACCAGCACCGGUGGCCUCACCACCACCACCCAUGAAGUCGCCUCCCCCACCAGCGCGAGUGGCAUCACCUCCGCCGCUGAUGAAAUCACCUCCACCACCAGCACCAGUGGCCUCUCCACCCCAACCGUUGAAAUCUCCACCACCGCCAGUACUGGUGGCCUCUCCACCUCCAUCGGUGAAAUCUCCACCACCGCCGGUACCAGUGGCCUCUCCACCUCCACCGGUGAAAUCUCCACCACCGCUGGCUCCAGUGAGCUCACCUUCUCCUCCGGUGAAGUUGCCACCACUACCAGCUCCUGGGAAAUCAACCCCACCUCCAGAAGAGGAAAAACCAACACCACCUACUCCAGUAAAGUCAUCGCCGCCUCCAGAGAAGUCUCUACCUCCACCCACUCUGACUACCUCUCCACCACCACAAGAGAAGCCUACUCCUCCAUCAACUCCAUCCAAACCACCACCAUCUCCAGUUGAGACACUACCUCCUCCAUCAAAGUCUUCUCCACCGGAAGAACCAGUUAGCUCACCACCUCAAGCACCAAAGUCGUCAUCUCCACCAGCUCCUGUAAGCUCACCACCUCCACUGAAGUCUUCUCCGCCUCCAGUACCAGAGAGCUCACCACCACCGACACCUAAGUCAUCACCUCCACUGGCUCCAGUGAGCUCACCACCUCAAGUGGAGAAGACUUCUCCACCACCAGCACCAGUCAGCUCACCACCACCGACACCUAAGUCAUCACCUCCACUAGCUCCAGUGAGCUCACCACCUCAAGUAGAGAAGACUUCUCCACCACCAGCACCAGUCAGCUCACCACCACCAACACCUAAGUCAUCACCUCCACUAGCUCCAGUGAGCUCACCACCUCAAGUAGAGAAGACUUCUCCACCACCAGCACCAGUCAGCUCACCACCAUUGGAGCCUAAGCCAUCAUCUCCACCUAGUUCUGUGAGCUCUCCACCUACGACGGUGAAGUCUUCUCCACCACCAGCACCACUUAGCUCGCCACCAAUGACGCCUAAGUCAUCAAGCCCACCUGCACACGUGAGCUCGCCUCCUGAAGCAGAGAAGUCAUCCCCGCCACUGGCACCGAUCAGCUCACCGCCAUCAGAGCCCAAGUCACCGUCGUCACCUCCAAUGGUAGAGAAAACUUCUCCACCACCGGCAACGGUUAGCUCACCACCACCUACGCCUAAGUCGUCACCUCCACCUGCUCCUGUGAGCUCACCACCUCCAGUGGUGAAGUCUUCUCCACCACCGGCACCAGUCAGCUCACCACCACCGACACCUAAGCCAUUACCUCCACCUGCUCCUGUGAGCUCACCACCUCCGGUGGUGAAGUCUUCUCCACCGCCGACACCAGUCAGCUCACCACCACCGACACCUAAGCCAUUGCCUCCACCUGCUCCUGUGAGCUCACCACCUCCAGUGGUGAAAUCUUCUCCACCACCGGCACCAGUCAGCUUACCACCACCGACGCCUAAGCCAUCUCCACCACCUACUCCUGUGAGCUCACCACCUCCAGUAGUAAAGUCUUCUCCACCACCAACACUAGUCAGCUCACCACCACCAGCACCUAAGUCAUUACCUCCACCUACUCCCGUGAGCUCGCCGCCUCCAGAAGUGAAGUCCUCUCCUCCACCAACCCCAGUUAGCUCACCACCACCAGCGCCGAAGUCGUCACCUCCACCUACUCCAGUGAGCUCGCCACCUCCAGAACUGAAGUCCUCUCCACCACCAGCCCCAGUUAGCUCACCACCAUCAGCGCCAAAGUCGUCACCUCCACCUGCUCCUGUAAGCUUGCCAC
RNAcentral lists this long non-coding RNA (23499 nucleotides) under Zea mays. RNAcentral describes it as "long non-coding RNA (ZMAY_LNC002135)". The record is from RNAcentral. Lineage: Eukaryota; Viridiplantae; Streptophyta; Magnoliopsida; Poales; Poaceae.